Molecule: ribosomal RNA, 301 nt
Filed under: uncultured bacterium
Lineage: Bacteria
Description: partial 16S ribosomal RNA
Rfam family: Bacterial small subunit ribosomal RNA
Source: RNAcentral
CAGUCGCCGCGGGAAUACAGAGGAUGCAAGCGUUAUCCGGAAUGACUGGGCGUAAAGCGUCUGUAGGUGGCUUUUCAAGUCCGCCGUCAAAUCCCAGGGCUCAACCCUGGACAGGCGGUGGAAACUACCAAGCUGGAGUACGGUAGGGGCAGAGGGAAUUUCCAGUGGAGCGGUGAAAUGCGUUGAGAUCGAAAAGAACACCAACAGCGAAAGCACUCUGCUGGGACGACACUGACACUAAGAGACGAAAGCUAGGAGAGCAAAUGGGAUUAGAUACCCCUGUAGUCCCUGUCUCUUAUAC